Molecule: non-coding RNA, 392 nt
Organism: Pelobates cultripes (western spadefoot toad)
Lineage: Eukaryota; Metazoa; Chordata; Amphibia; Anura; Pelobatidae
Source: the annotation of a GenBank genome assembly
CACCCAUUAAGCCAUUCUGUGCCAGUCACCGAUAGAUCCCCCAUUAACCCAUUCUGUGCCAGUCACCGAUAGAUCCCCAUUAACCCAUUCUGUGCCAGUCACGACAGAUCCCCAUUAACCCAUUCUGUGCCAGUCACCGAUAGAUCCCCCAUUAACCCAUUCUGUGCCAGUCGCCGAUAGAUCCCCAUUAACUCAUUCUGUGCCAGUCACGAUAGAUCCCCAUUAACCCAUUCUGUGCCAGUCACCGAUAGAUCCCCCAUUAACCCAUUCUGUGCCAGUCACCGAUAGAUCCCCCAUUAACCCAUUCUGUGCCAGUCACCGAUAGAUCCCCAUUAACCCAUUCUGUGCCAGUCGCCGAUAGAUCCCCAUUAACCCAUUCUGUGCCGGUCACC